UAGGGAAUCUUCCACAAUGGACGCAAGUCUGAUGGAGCAACGCCGCGUGAGUGAAGAAGGGUUUCGGCUCGUAAAGCUCUGUUGUUAAAGAAGAACGUGGGUGAGAGUAACUGUUCACCCAGUGACGGUAUUUAACCAGAAAGCCACGGCUAACUACGUGCCAU
Molecule: ribosomal RNA, 164 nt
Filed under: uncultured bacterium
Lineage: Bacteria
Description: partial 16S rRNA
Rfam family: Bacterial small subunit ribosomal RNA
Source: RNAcentral